GUGACAAUGGUGUAAUGGUUAGCAUUGUUGCUUCCCAAGCAAUAGAUCCGAGUUCAACUCCCGGUUGUUGCA
This is a transfer RNA of Tetranychus urticae (two-spotted spider mite), 72 nucleotides long. It matches the Rfam family "tRNA". From Rfam's summary of the family: Transfer RNA (tRNA) molecules are approximately 80 nucleotides in length. Their secondary structure includes four short double-helical elements and three loops (D, anti-codon, and T loops). Further hydrogen bonds mediate the characteristic L-shaped molecular structure. tRNAs have two regions of fundamental functional importance: the anti-codon, which is responsible for specific mRNA codon recognition, and the 3' end, to which the tRNAs corresponding amino acid is attached (by aminoacyl-tRNA synthetases). tRNAs cope with the degeneracy of the genetic code in two manners: having more than one tRNA (with a specific anti-codon) for a particular amino acid; and 'wobble' base-pairing, i.e. permitting non-standard base-pairing at the 3rd anti-codon position. Lineage: Eukaryota; Metazoa; Arthropoda; Arachnida; Trombidiformes; Tetranychidae. The record is from Rfam.